RNAcentral lists this long non-coding RNA (677 nucleotides) under Homo sapiens (human). RNAcentral describes it as "HSALNT0261020". Lineage: Eukaryota; Metazoa; Chordata; Mammalia; Primates; Hominidae. The record is from RNAcentral.
GGCUUUUCCAGAGAGGAAGCAGGGGAAGGUGCCAGGAAGAGAUAAGGCCUGUCCUGAUCCAGGAACCUCCAAGCCUUUUGCCUGGUCUCCAGGCUCCUAGACUCUCCUGCCUUGAAUCCACCCUCCAAAAGGUAGCUUGAGUCUAAUUAUCUCCUUUCCCUGCUCCGAACUUUUUCAUGGCUCCCCAGUGCCCUAGGGACAAAGCACAGAUUCCCGGACACAGCCCACACCACCUCUGAUCUCAGCCACAUCCUCAGCCUCUAAUUGAGUUAGCACACUGUCUACACUGGGUUCAACACUGACAUUUCCCCUCAGAUGCCCUCUCCUCCAAAGAAGCCCUCUCUGCCUGCCCCAGCUACCCCGCCCCAGCUCUGACCACACUGGGUCAUCGGUGCCUGGGGAUGGAUCUGUCUCCUCUCCAGGAGCCCCAGUGAGGACUGAGCCCUGGAACUGCCUUCAUUAUUUAGGACUGGGAGCCCCAGCAGGACAGGACUGGAACCAUCGUGGUCACUGUUGUGUCUCCUGCACCACCCAACACCAGGCCAGGCAUAGAGGAGAUUUUGUUCAAUGCAACUGUUUGUUCAAUGUCAUUCAUUCAAUAAAUAUUUACAGAGCACCAAUUCUGUUCCGGGCACUGGGGAUAAAUCAGUGAAGGAAUUCAAAGAGCCCUGAUUGGC